UGGGGAAUUUUGGACAAUGGGCGAAAGCCUGAUCCAGCAAUGCCGCGUGCAGGAAGAAGGCCUUCGGGUUGUAAACUGCUUUUGUACGGAACGAAAAGGCUCUUUCUAAUAAAGAGGGCCCAUGACGGUACCGUAAGAAUAAGCACCGGCUAACUACGUGCCAGCAGCCGCGGUAAUACGUAGGGUGCGAGCGUUAAUCGGAAUUACUGGGCGUAAAGCGUGCGCAGGCGGUUCUAUAAGACAGAUGUGAAAUCCCCGGGCUCAACCUGGGAAUGGCAUUUGUGACUGUAGAGCUAGAGUACGGUAGAGGGGGAUGGAAUUCCGCGUGUAGCAGUGAAAUGCGUAGAUAUGCGGAGGAACACCGAUGGCGAAGGCAAUCCCCUGGACCUGUACUGACGCUCAUGCACGAAAGCGUGGGGAGCAAACA
Molecule: ribosomal RNA, 427 nt
Filed under: uncultured Polaromonas sp.
Lineage: Bacteria; Pseudomonadati; Pseudomonadota; Betaproteobacteria; Burkholderiales; Comamonadaceae
Description: bacterial SSU rRNA
Rfam family: Bacterial small subunit ribosomal RNA
Source: RNAcentral